AGGUUAGCUAAUACCGCAUACGACUCUCGGUCUGCGGAUCGAGAGGGAAAGCGAUACCGUGGGUAUCGCGCUCAUGGAUGGGCUCAUGUCCUAUCAGCUUGUUGGUGAGGUAACGGCUCACCAAGGCUUCGACGGGUAGCUGGUCUGAGAGGACGAUCAGCCACACUGGCACUGCGACACGGGCCAGACUCCUACGGGAGGCAGCAGUAAGGAAUAUUGCGCAAUGGGCGACAGCCUGACGCAGCGACGCCGCGUGGGGGAUGAAGGUCUUCGGAUUGUAAACCCCUUUCGGCAGGGAAGAUGGAACGGGUAACCGUUCGGACGGUACCUGCAGAAGCAGCCACGGCUAACUUCGUGCCAGCAGCCGCGGUAAUACGAAGGUGGCAAGCGUUGUUCGGAUUUACUGGGCGUACAGGGAGCGUAGGCGGUUGGGUAAGCCC
RNAcentral lists this ribosomal RNA (440 nucleotides) under uncultured bacterium. RNAcentral's name for it is "bacterial SSU rRNA". It matches the Rfam family "Bacterial small subunit ribosomal RNA", at positions 156 to 590 of the family's 1533-position model. The record is from RNAcentral.